Molecule: ribosomal RNA, 254 nt
Filed under: uncultured bacterium
Lineage: Bacteria
Description: partial 16S ribosomal RNA
Rfam family: Bacterial small subunit ribosomal RNA
Source: RNAcentral
UACGUAGGGCGCAAGCGUUGUCCGGAAUUAUUGGGCGUAAAGAGCUCGUAGGCGGUUUGGUAAGUCGGGUGUGAAAUCUCCACGCUCAACGUGGAGGGGCCACUCGAUACUGCCAUGACUCGAGUCCGGUAGAGGAGUGUGGAAUUCCCGGUGUAGCGGUGAAAUGCGCAGAUAUCGGGAGGAACACCCGUAGCGAAGGCGGCACUCUGGGCUGGAACUGACGCUGAGGAGCGAAAGCGUGGGGAGCAAACAGG